RNAcentral lists this ribosomal RNA (505 nucleotides) under uncultured bacterium. RNAcentral describes it as "bacterial SSU rRNA". It matches the Rfam family "Bacterial small subunit ribosomal RNA", at positions 107 to 607 of the family's 1533-position model. The record is from RNAcentral.
UGAGUAAUGUCUGGGAAACUGCCUGAUGGAGGGGGAUAACUACUGGAAACGGUAGCUAAUACCGCAUAACGUCGCAAGACCAAAGUGGGGGACCUUCGGGCCUCAUGCCAUCAGAUGUGCCCAGAUGGGAUUAGCUAGUAGGUGAGGUAAUGGCUCACCUAGGCGACGAUCCCUAGCUGGUCUGAGAGGAUGACCAGCCACACUGGAACUGAGACACGGUCCAGACUCCUACGGGAGGCAGCAGUGGGGAAUAUUGCACAAUGGGCGCAAGCCUGAUGCAGCCAUGCCGCGUGUAUGAAGAAGGCCUUCGGGUUGUAAAGUACUUUCAGCGAGGAGGAAGGCAUUAAGGUUAAUAACCUUAUUGAUUGACGUUACUCGCAGAAGAAGCACCGGCUAACUCCGUGCCAGCAGCCGCGGUAAUACGGAGGGUGCAAGCGUUAAUCGGAAUUACUGGGCGUAAAAGCGCACGCAGGCGGUCUGUCAAGUCGGAUGUGAAAUCCCCGGG